AAAUUGAAGAGUUUGAUCAUGGCUCAGAUUGAACGCUGGCGGCAGGCCUAACACAUGCAAGUCGAACGGUAACAGGAAGCAGCUUGCUGCUUCGCUGACGAGUGGCGGACGGGUGAGUAAUGUCUGGGAAACUGCCUGAUGGAGGGGGAUAACUACUGGAAACGGUAGCUAAUACCGCAUAAUGUCGCAAGACCAAAGAGGGGGACCUUCGGGCCUCUUGCCAUCGGAUGUGCCCAGAUGGGAUUAGCUUGUUGGUGGGGUAACGGCUCACCAAGGCGACGAUCCCUAGCUGGUCUGAGAGGAUGACCAGCCACACUGGAACUGAGACACGGUCCAGACUCCUACGGGAGGCAGCAGUGGG
This 361-nucleotide ribosomal RNA is filed under the name Escherichia coli. RNAcentral describes it as "partial 16S ribosomal RNA". It matches the Rfam family "Bacterial small subunit ribosomal RNA", at positions 1 to 358 of the family's 1533-position model. RNAcentral also lists the same sequence under 1 other name. The record is from RNAcentral. Lineage: Bacteria; Pseudomonadati; Pseudomonadota; Gammaproteobacteria; Enterobacterales; Enterobacteriaceae.